RNAcentral lists this ribosomal RNA (1209 nucleotides) under Chauhanellus poculus. RNAcentral describes it as "SSU rRNA". It matches the Rfam family "Eukaryotic small subunit ribosomal RNA", at positions 606 to 1810 of the family's 1831-position model. The record is from RNAcentral. Lineage: Eukaryota; Metazoa; Platyhelminthes; Monogenea; Dactylogyridea; Ancylodiscoididae.
CAGAUGCAGAUAAAAAGCUCAUAUCGGAAUUCCCAUUAUGAAUGUACUGGGUAUCCGGUCCAUUGAUAAUCCUCCACAUGAGAACCUAUCUCGGCUUUCACUGGUGAGUUCCGGGAUCAUGUAUUUAACUGACAAAAAAUCAGUGUGUUUCAGGCAGGCGUUUGCUGAAUACACAAGCAUGGAAUAAUGGAAUAGGACUUUGGUCCUAUUUUGUUGGUUUGAUAGAACCGAAGUAAUGAUAAAGAGAGACAGUCGGGGGCAUUUGUAUGGCUGCGCUAGAGGUGAAAUUCGUGGACCGUAGCCAGACAAACUAAAGCGAAAGCAUCUGCCAAGUAUGUUUUCAUUUACCAGGAGCGAAAGUCAGAGGUUCGAAGACGAUCAGAUACCGUCCUAGUUCUGACCAUAAACGAUGCCAACUGACGAUCCGUGGUAGUUCUUUAUAUGAGCCCACGGGCAGUCUCUGGGAAACCUGUAAGUCUAUGGGUUCCGGGGAAAGUAUGGUUGCAAAACUGAAACUUAAAGGAAUUGACGGAAGGGCACCACCAGGAGUGGAGCUUGCGGCUUAAUUUGACUCAACACGGGAAAACUCACCCGACCCGGACACCAUGAUGAUUGACAGAUUGAAAGCUCUUUCUUGAUUUGGUGGCUAGUGGUGCAUGGCCGUUCUUAGUUCGUGGUACGAGCUGUCUGGUUAAUUCCGAUAACGAACGAGACUCUAACCUGCUAAAUAGUACGGUUGCAAUGUUAUAUGGGUUUCAAUUCUUUACUUCGGUAUUUUAUUGAUCCCAUAUAAGCAGGUGAAACUUCUUAGAGGGACUGGCACUUUACUAUAAAGUGCACGAGAAAGAGCAAUAACAGGUCUGUGAUGCCCUAAGAUGUCCGGGGCCGCACGCGUGCUACAAUGACGGUGCUAGUGAGCAUGAUUAACCUGGCUCGAAAGAGUUGGGAAAACUGUUCAAUCAUCGUCGUUACUGGGAUUGGGGUUUGCAAUUAUCCCCCAUGAACGAGGAAUUCCUAGUAAGCACAAGUCAUAAGCUUGUGCUGAUUACGUCCCUGCCCUUUGUACACACCGCCCGUCGCUACUACCGAUUGAAUGGUUUAGCAAGGUUAUUGGAUUGGUUUAUUGCAGUUUACACUGUUUUAAGCUAAGAAGAUGACCGAACUUGAUCAUUUAGAGGAAGUAAAAGUCGUAACAAGGUUUCCGUAGGU